UGCCGGGUAGCUCAAUCAGGCAGAGCAGCGCCCUGUUAAGGCGAUGGUUGUGGGUUCGAGUCCCACCCCGGCAG
This 74-nucleotide transfer RNA is filed under the name Actinomycetota bacterium. Its description in RNAcentral is "tRNA-Asn". It matches the Rfam family "tRNA". From Rfam's summary of the family: Transfer RNA (tRNA) molecules are approximately 80 nucleotides in length. Their secondary structure includes four short double-helical elements and three loops (D, anti-codon, and T loops). Further hydrogen bonds mediate the characteristic L-shaped molecular structure. tRNAs have two regions of fundamental functional importance: the anti-codon, which is responsible for specific mRNA codon recognition, and the 3' end, to which the tRNAs corresponding amino acid is attached (by aminoacyl-tRNA synthetases). tRNAs cope with the degeneracy of the genetic code in two manners: having more than one tRNA (with a specific anti-codon) for a particular amino acid; and 'wobble' base-pairing, i.e. permitting non-standard base-pairing at the 3rd anti-codon position. Lineage: Bacteria; Bacillati; Actinomycetota. The record is from RNAcentral.